AGGAUUCCCUCCAGAUGACUUUGAAAGCUUCUUAUAAACCUCAACGCAAGCCGUCGCCUUGGCCAAGAAGUGGUCAUAAAACUUCUUAUAACUACCUGAGGGUUUUAAACAAUCAUAAUCAGCUGUCUCAGUUGAGAUCCAUAUGACAGGAGUUCCAUCUUCAUAGCCAGAGAUAGCCCAUUCUUCAAUACGCCCAAAGCCUUCACAUCUAAUUCCUUUUGCUUUUACUUUGUCAAGACUGUCCUCAAGUGGUAAAAUGAGGCCACUGAUAAACAGAUCAUCAACCUCAGACAUUCCAAACGGUUGUGGUAUUCCUUCUGAGUUAUGAAAAACAAAAUCCGUUAAUCUUCUACAGGGUCGUUGAGACUCUUGCAGACCCGCAGUUAACCUAAUAGCUACAUCCUCUUCGUCUACACAAUGGUCCUUCUUUGUUUCAAUGACUGAAGACUU
Molecule: unclassified non-coding RNA, 450 nt
Filed under: Hevea brasiliensis (rubber tree)
Lineage: Eukaryota; Viridiplantae; Streptophyta; Magnoliopsida; Malpighiales; Euphorbiaceae
Source: RNAcentral